UAGACAAAGAAAGGGACUAGGGUUAUCGGAGCGACACGUCGGAGAGAAGACGUGGUGAGUGGGGUCUCUGGAAGCAUGAUUCUGACGGACACGUCAGCGCAUGGCAUUCCUUCUUCAUUCUUAUUUUGUGUUGCUAUAUAUCAUCAUCAUCAUGAGUUUGGGUUUGGUUUCUUUGUUGUGUGUCUCCGCCCCUGGCCCCUGGCCCCUGCUUGAUUUCCAAUUCGAUUUAGGGAUUCCCUGCGCAGAGAUUAACCUCAUUCUCUCAUUCUCUGCGCUCCCAAAUCUAAUUCAAUCCAAUGUCUAUCCCCGAUUCUCCCUUCGCCGAAGAUGUCGAAAUCGAUCCAUCCCUUGACGACGACGACGAAGAAGAAGAAGAAACAGAGGAGGAGGAGGAGGAGGAGGAAGAAGUCGAAGAGGAGGAGGUCGAGGAAGAAGAAGAAGUGGAGGAGGAAGAAGUAGAAGAGGAAGAGGUUGAGGAAGAACUGGAAGAGGAGGAAGUAGAAGAGAUAGAGGUGGAGGAAGAACUGGAAGAGGAGGAAGUAGAAGAGAUAGAGGUGGAGGAAGAACUGGAAGAGGAGGUAGUAGAAGAGAUAGAGGUGGAGGAAGAAGAAGAGGAGGGGGAACAAGGAGAAGAACAACAAGUAGAAGAAAUGGAGGAGGAAGAGGAAGAAGAAGUCGAAGAGGAGGAGGUGGAAGAGGAAGAAGAAGAGGAACAACAACAACAGCAGCAAGAAGCAGUGGAGGAGAAGAAGGAAGAGCAACAACAGCAACACCAAGCAGAAGCAGCAAUGGAGGAACAAGAAGAAGUGCCAAUGGAGGAGAAGGAGGAGGACAAACCGGCGGUGCCAGGUUCUCCACUCGAUGCGGAUAAGGAUCGCAAAGAUUACGGCCAACAUAUGGAGUUUGAGGGGCAAGACAAAAACUUGGGACCAGUUUCUUCUGUGGCUGAAAACCCUGAAGUAAUGCCACCAUCUAGUAUGCAUUGCAUGGAAGAGAAUAAUGUCAUGCUCAAAAAAAGUGACAUACCUACAUUGAAAAAGGAAGAGCUUCCCCUGAAAUAUGAAAUUUCAAGUCAUCCAAAAUCAAGAGAAAAUCUGACUUCUGUUGAAGUUUGCAGAAGUCAAGGAUUAGAUGUUGAAGUUGAAAAUGAUGGAUCCCUUCUGCAGAAGAAAACAUUUAGAGGAUACUGUGUGCCAGGUUGCAAUAGCAAAGCUAAUUUAUGUGGUGACAAUAAUAUUGAUUCCAGGGCCAGGGCCACCAAGUCAUCUAGUGAUACUGUACAAGAUAUGGUUAUUGGCCCCCUACCGAGAGAUUGCCUUGUUGAGGAUUCUAAUGGUGGUCAGAAUUCUAGAAACAAAAUCAUGCUGUCGGAGAUGGAGUCAAGGGAUGAUGCGAAACAAAUGACAUCAAGCAGGACUAGAAAUCUGUCUCCCAGUGCUGAGAUUAAAGAUGGAAACAAACGCCCCAGAAUUAUAUGUGAUUUUUUUGCUAAAGGAUGGUGUAUCAGAGGUAGUUCUUGUAGCUUUCUUCAUAUAAAAGAUACUGGGGACAAUACUGACCAGGAAGCUGAAGCAGACUCAGUUUCUACUUAUCAGAAGAGACAAUUGAAAGUGGAAGAAGGUGUUAGGGAAAAUGUUGAGAGAUCCAGGAUGAAUGAGCAAGAAGCAACUCCUAGUUGGCAUCCAUCUCAAGAAAAACAGAAGUUUCCGCCGAGGGACAACUUGUUUCCAGAUAAUAGAUUUCCAUUUAGUGCAUCAGACAAUUAUUUGAGCCCAAAUCUUUCUUUGAAUUCAACCCGUGCAGAUGGAAUGGCUACUCCUCGUAACCAACAUAUGUACAAAGGAUAUACUUCCACACUUUUGAGCCAUUUGCCGAAUUCGAGCCUGGUUACUCAAUUUGCAGCUUCAAGUAUGUCACUCUCCCACCGGAUUCUAGCUCAAUCAGGACGUUCGCUGCCUUUUAGUUCAUCUUUAGGGGCUAGUAAUGUGGAUUCUCUAAAGUUUUUGAACACUGACAAAGAAUAUCUCACAUCUAAGUCCACUUUCUCUGGUUCAGGGCGGGAAGAUUUUUCUCUUGUUAGUUCGUCUAGGGUUCCAUCAUAUCCUGCUGGAUAUAAAUCAAAAAUCUGUUCUUAUGAUUGGGAACCUUCUGUUCCCUUUCGACCAUCUUUUUUUAUUACUUCUAUGAAUGUAUCAUCUCCUGGAGAUCUUUAUGACCCUCUUCGUGAUAGCAUUGAGAUACCUAAUAUAGGAGAUGGGUCUUUGAAGGCUUCCCUUUUAAUUCAUGGAUCAAAUGUGCAGGCUUCAUCACAGGUUCGGACAUAUGGUGAUUCUGCUGUAGUUGGGAAACACAUGUCCAAUUUUAAUGAUGACAAAAGUUCUGUAUCUUCUCAUAAUAAAUUUUGUGAAAAUGAGCCAAAUAAAAAUUGUCUUCCUCAUGAAAAAGAUUGUCUUCCACCUGAAACAGAGAUAACAUCAGGAACUUAUCAAGGUAAAAUGGGCAUGGGACAACAUACCUUUGGUGUUGCAGAUAGUACAAAAAAUGAGAGAGAUGUGACCGAGUGUGAUGCUAGACGUCAUGGUGAAGGAUCAGGGCAUAAAAAGAAGAGAGUAGACAGGGAUAAGAAAAAUCAUGAAAUGGAUGGCGACUUUCAGAUUGAUGGCAGCAUUCAGAAGGAAUCAAAGGCAUUAAAAUUUUUUCGCGCAGCUCUUGUUGAUCAUGUUAAAGAGUUGUUAAAACCAGCUUGGCACGAGGGUCAUCUUAGCAAGGAUGCACACAUUAUGAUAGUCAAAAAAUCAGUUGACAAGGUUGUUAGCACCUUGGAACCCCAUCAGAUUCCGAUCAUGGAUACUGCUAAGCAAUAUGUUUCUUCAAGUCAGGUGAAAAUUGCAAAGCUGGUCAAUGGAUAUGUCAAUAAAUAUGGCAAAUAUUGAUAUGCAAGCCAAACACCUUUUUUGUAUAGUUUCUGAUCAGUUGGCUGAUCCUAAUUCAUGAAAAGUUCUGUCUGAGGCUCUCUUUUUCAUACAGAAGCUUCUUAUCUUUAUGGAUGACAUAUCUGUGUUACUCUUCAACCAUGGAUAAUGCUAAUGUCAGGAGAAAUUCUGAACUUUUUUCAGUAAGUAAUGAGUUUGAAGAACUGGGUAGAUUUCUGAUCAGAGACUGAUUUGUUUGGAUGGCAAGUGCUUGUGGUUGAAGUCGACCAUUGGAAAUAAGUUGGUCAGCAGGAGUGAUCUUGAUUGGAUUGACAGCAGAAUUCAAGUUUGCUUUAGUGCUGGUAAAUUCAAAUUCUGAGUCAUGCUUGCUUACCUGGUAGUCUUUAGCCCGGUUAGGAGAAGGGAGCUUUGGUUGGUGGUCUUGAAUAGCAACAAGGCCACUAAAAGAGAGCGAGUCCAAUGAAUAUGAAAUGCUAUCAUACGCCACAUGUGAGGUGAGCUUGUCCAUUGAUUUAUAACCAAAAUGGCUAUGUGGGUUGAAAACUUGUAUAUAUAUGCAGAAACCUGCUAGACGCUGGGACCACUUUAAUGCAGUUAGAAUGUGUUCUGCUGAGUUGAAGUUGUUUUGGUUUUAUAUUUUUCUUUUUGUUGUCCGCUUUGUGGUGGAGGGGGUAAAGCCAAUACGCAUAUUGAAUUUUAGGGGGCAUUUCUUGAGAAGUUAACAUGCUAUUAACUUUUCGGUCUCCAAGUUUGAGUAGCCAAUUGAACUGAGUUUGGGUAUGGAGUUUGUCAUCUUUAGUCGAAGUAUUUGUCACAUCUUCCGUUUGGUCAGUAUAUUCAUUGAGGAGUCUGCGUAUGGGUGGAUAUUACGAAGGUAGAGUGUACAUAUAUAAAUAUAUAUUCUUUCUGAAGGUCAUUGUCAAAUCUCAAUCAGCUUAUGAUCCUACGAGGAUGGCAAGUGAUGGUAGAUGAAGAGUGGACAAAUGAUUUGUUAUUUCUUUGCUGUUAAAUCAUCACAGUUAAUACGUUUCCUUGUCGUUUUCUAUUCUUGUUUUUACAUUAACAUGCAGCUACAUUACCGACGUGCGACGGUUGCUGGACACUAGCCCAAGUAGUCAUUGAAGUGUCAUGUUAAUUUUCAUUUUGUAGCAAGUGCAUACUUGCUUUCUUGAAGGGGUACGAGUGUAACUGCGACCCUUGGAUUGAGAAGGAAUCCAAGUUUCGCAAUUAUGCUUGAUUUUAAUCACCGAAUAGAAACAGCUUUGCAUUUUUAUUUUAGAGGUCGACUGGUAAAAGGUACAAUGAAGAAUACUAAGUGACCAGUGUCGAAGUAUGAUGAUAUUGACAACGAAGAGGAAAAGGAAAAUUCUAAUAUUUUUGGAUUUUCUCAUGAUGAUAUGUGAUUUUUCUGCUUAUUUACAAUUUACAAUAUGUGGACUUGAAAGUCCAAAGGUGAAUCAACCUUCAAUUUGUUUCCA
Glycine soja is the source of this 4411-nucleotide RNA transcript. It is a transcript of the gene named protein FRIGIDA-ESSENTIAL 1-like, with no coding region annotated. The transcript has 8 exons. The record is from RefSeq and is a predicted model, not a curated record. NCBI's taxonomy places the organism in Eukaryota, Viridiplantae, Streptophyta, Magnoliopsida, Fabales, Fabaceae.